This is an RNA transcript of Crotalus tigris (Tiger rattlesnake), 6762 nucleotides long. It is a transcript of the gene named ethanolamine kinase 1, with no coding region annotated. The transcript has 9 exons. The record is from RefSeq and is a predicted model, not a curated record. Lineage: Eukaryota; Metazoa; Chordata; Lepidosauria; Squamata; Viperidae.
CUCGCGCCUUUCAUUUGCCGGCUGCGCAGCUCGCGUGACGCCGCAGUUGCCGCCGCCGUUUUUUUCCCUCAGAAGCCUCACACGCUCGCUCUUUUCUCUCUUUUUUUUCCCCUCUCGUCGUCGUCUCGUCGUCUUCUCCAUGGCCAACUACAUCCAUGUCCCGUCGGGCUCGCCUGAGGUACCCAAGCUGGACAUCUUCGUCAGCGAGAGGGACCCUUCAGGCGGCGGCAAGCCGGGCUACCGCCGCGGGGCCCUGGAGCUGCUCCGCCGGCUUAGGCCCGACUGGAAGCCUGAGGAGGUGACGCUGAAGAUAUUUACAGAUGGAAUCACAAAUAAACUUAUUGGCUGUUACAUGGAUGAAAAAAUGGAUGAUGUUGUCCUUGUUAGAAUUUACGGGAAUAAGACGGAACUUUUAGUUGAUCGAGAGGAGGAAGUGAAGAGCUUCCGUGUGCUGCAGGCCCAUGGUUGUGCACCCCAGCUUUACUGCACCUUCAGCAAUGGCCUGUGCUAUGAGUUCAUGCAAGGAGAAGCUCUGGAUCCAGAACAUGUUUGCAACCCAGAGAUAUUUCGACUGAUAGCAAGACAACUUGCUAAAAUACAUGCUAUUCAUGCUCACAAUGGAUGGAUACCCAAGUCGAACUUAUGGAUAAAGAUGGGAAAGUACUUCUCUCUUGCACCUGCAGAAUUUGCAGAUGAGGAGUUGCAUGUGAGAUUUCUACAUGAUGUGCCCAGCCGUCAAAUUCUACAGGAUGAAAUGGCAUGGAUGAAGGAGAGACUCUCUAACCUAGGUUCACCAGUGGUACUUUGUCAUAAUGAUCUCUUGUGUAAAAAUAUAAUCUACAAUGGAAAACAAGGUGACGUUCAGUUCAUUGACUACGAGUACUCUGGAUAUAAUUACCUUGCUUAUGAUAUUGGGAACCACUUCAAUGAGUUUGCAGGAGUGAGUGAGGUUGACUAUAGCCUCUAUCCAAGCAGAAAGCUGCAGGAGCAAUGGUUGAGAUCUUACUUGGAAGCCUACAAGGAAUAUAAAGGAUUUGGAACAGAUGUCACUGAAAAAGAGGUGGAGCUGCUUUAUGUCCAAGUGAACCAGUUUGCUCUGGCUUCUCAUUUCUUCUGGGGAUUGUGGGCCCUAAUUCAAGCCAAAUACUCCACUAUUGACUUCGAUUUUCUAGGGUAUGCAGUUGUUCGCUUCAAUCAGUACUUCAAAAUGAAGAAUGAAGUAAUGGCAUUAAAACUUCCUGAGUAGAAUUUGAGAACUUGGUUAUCCGCCUGUUGAGAAGAUUCCUUACUGUUUUUGUCAUGAGUACAUAAUAGGAACAGCUCUACAUUUGUAUUAUUCCUUCCUCUUUUCCUUCUUUUUUUUUUUUUUUUGGCUUUUCAUUACCUCUAAAUAACAAUCUUUCAAUGGUAAACUUCAAAUGAAGGUCUUUUCUGAUAUUGUGGAAGGAUUGGGAGCUCUAAUGGAUUUCUGAAACACAAGGCGAGCAAAUUUAAUCCUUUUUGUAUUAUUUUUUUUUUGAAAUGUGAGACAUGAAUUAUUUAUUAUGAGUUUAACAUUCCAUUGCUGCUGUUUAUCGGUUCUCCUUAAGGGAGAGGGUGCAGGCGAUCAUCCCGUAAACUUUUUUUUUACAUCUCAAAUUGCUACAGCAUUCAGUUGUUUAACCAUAAACUACAUGGAAUCUACAUAAUAACAGAUCCCAGUUUGUAACUCAAGUUAAGCCACUAAUGCUGACUGGAGAUUAUAUCAGGGUGGAACAAAAUAAUUUUCAUUCUCUUGUUUCUCUCAGCUCUAGCAAGCUACUGUCUGGGGAAAAAAAAAAUGACCGUUCUUGUAUAUAGUGGAAGCAAAAAAUUUUGUGGAGGCCUGCUCACAAAAUCAAUUAAGGAAAUGAUACCCACUUUCUCUUGGCUUUUAAAUUUGAAGAGGGAUUUUACCCUGAAAUGUAAGCUUUAAAUGACUACUCAUCCAGGUGUCGUGUAUUUUCCUCCUUAACAAGUUUUUUUCUUCUUCUUAAAUCUUUGAUAAAUACUGUAGUAAAAACCAACAGGGUUUUUGUGGAGCAGUCCUGUAAUAAUUGGGAGCAAAAGUGUACCACUUAAUUUGUAUUUCUUUAGGCUUGGUGAGGGCUCAUAAUUUUCUUCGUUGACUUGUCUUGGUUCCACCUUCUUCGUCAUCCUUUCUUUAGUAAACGGUAGUGGCAUUUGAAAAAGGAGAAUUGGUCACGGACAUUUGAGUCUUCUUUUUCAAAAGCCAUCCUCUCAAGAAUAGUUUAAAUUUCAAAAAAAUGUGAAACACAAUGUUUACUUAGCUAGCGUACGUGUGAGAGUGUGUUUAAGAAUGGGGAAGUUGCUUUAAACUUUUGAAAGUUGUGCUAUUAAGUUCAGUAAUAGUUUCUGUUGGUUUUAUUUUUGUUGUCUCUUUUGGUCACUUAAGUGCCCAUAUAGUCUAUGUGUUCACAUGCAUUAUGUGCAAAGGCAGAUAUACCUUAAAAAGUGAUGAAGUGGGGAAUCUGUUGCCCAGACUCAGUAAAAAUAUUUAUUCAGAAAUAUUUUAAAGAACUCUAAAAUAAACAUUGGCUAAAAAAUAAAACUGACUUGAUUUAAUGUAGGAUAAUGAAUAAAAAUGUUAACCCAAAGUCACUGACAACUUCUGUUUACAGAAAUAAAAACAUGACAAGAUACGUUUUGAGAUAUUUCUAAAACCACUCUCCUCAAAUGCCCCAAAUUAGAAUAGCGGUACCUCAAAUGUCCACUAUUCAGCAAUGAAAUUAGUUUAGGAAAACUAGGAUAGAAUCUGUAUUCUCUGGUCAGUCCCCCCCCCCCCCCACUGUGGUGGUGUAUGGAUAUGAUGAACAUAACUGUGUGGUUAGUUCUGAGCUUCAGGUUAUCUGGAUGGUAACAGGAAUUAUAUUCUAUUCAUGCUUAAAGCUUUCAUAUGGAGAAGGGUAGUUUUACUUUGAAGAUACAUUUCAGCUCUUACCACAGUUGUACAUAAAUUGGGCAGCUUCUCUUGAUGAUCAGUGUUGAGCUAAUUAAAGGAAAUUUGUAAUUUAUCGGGUAAAGGGUGUUGCUCGAGCUCUAGAAAAUAAGAAAACUCCUUUUUUUUGGUCUUUGUAUUUAUUUUGCAUAUUCUUUAAUGCCAUCUUACAGUGAGGCCCUUAGAAAUUAGGCGGAGUUCAUCAUAAUGAUUGUUAUCAUCUUCCUUUUUUGUUACAUAAAAAAAUAAUAUCCAAAGUAUGGUUCAGCUCCUCUGUUAAGCUGGAUAGAGAAAAAUGUGCCUCCAUGAUCACUGGAUGGAUCUGCAAAGAUUGAUAAACUUUUAUUUCAUUUCUACUGAGCUUAAUAUGAACCAAUUAAAAGUUUUUUCUUUUUUUAAAAAAAUAAUGAGCUCUUUAGAAGAGAUGUAUUUUGGCUUAGUCUCCAAAGUGGCUGGAUUUCAAUCGUGUCUCCAUUUUUGCCAGAAUUGUGUUAGAUUGAACAUAUUCCAGCACAGUGUGUUUCUGAAUACAUAAAAAGAUGUAUAAAAAUAAUUAGUGGUUUUAAAUCAUCUUAAGAGAAAAUGUCCAUUUACCUUGAAGAGUAGUACAUGUAGCUUAAUAUAGUUAUAUUUUGUUAUUUCAGAACUGUCGUUUUCUACUCUCUGCUCUUUUAUUCCUCUUUUGUUGGAUUUUUGAGAUGGCUUUGUCACACUUUCCAGCUUGCUCUCAUUUUUGCAAGUACUUGACUCUUUUAUUUUCCAGAGCUCUAGAAAACAACCUCAGGUAAUUCUGGCUGUGACUUGGCAAUAAGCUAAUCUGUUGCCUGUACUUUGAAGCUAAAGAUUCUAAUGCCACCAUUAGUGACAUUGUAGUGAAAAUAAGGAGUUACUAGAAACAGAUUCAACACUGUAAACAUAAGCCUACAGACCAUAGUGGCCUAGUAGCUUUUGUAAAGCAGAAAUGCGUGAAUUUUUCAACACACUGGCAAUCAGACCAGGUUCAUCAACCUCUACCUGAUGGAUUCAGACAUCAAAGCUUCUUUAGUGUAACGGUGGGGGGAUUUAAAAGAAAAUUGGUAUUGUUUUGAACUUUUGGCCUGGGAUUCUUAAUGUGAAUUUUGUAGGAUUAGCUAAUCAAUUUAUGGUAACCGGGUCUGACUGUGUAUAUAUAAUAGUGUAAAUAACCAUUUGUAAAUUAAUGUGAAUUGUAUGGUACCUCGCAUUUAUGAAUUUAUGUAUUUUCGUUGUAUGUUCCUUUUUGUAGAAUUUGGAUGUAAACCGAUAUCCAGUUCUUGACAUCUGUUGAACUCUUUUUGUUAAAUAGGCUGCCUUCAAGGGAAUUCCCAGUUGGAAAACAAAUAGGGUGCAGUAUCUGAGGAUAAUAUUAGCUUACAUAAGGUGUCUUUUUCAUUGUGUUUGUAAUGUCUGCCUUAGUAUUUAUACAUUUUCGUUGGAAGAGCUAAUCAGUCUAAACCUGAGUUAGCACAACAAUUGCUUUUAAGUGACAAUAUCCAUUCUUCUAGUAAGAAGCAGGUUGGCUAAUUAGAAGAAAAGUGGUUUUCUCUCCUGAGAUAUAAUGAAGGUCCACUCCGAUUCGGGCUUGUCACGCACAGGUAAUUCUCGCUUUGAAAAACCCUUGUACAUAUUCCUUUCCUAACAGUAGAGGCCCUUGCAAAUUAAAACAACAACACCAUCAAAACCUGUGUAUAGAAAUAGCUCAAGCAAAAGGAAGAUACACCUAUAUAAACCUGCAACAGCAAAAGAUACAGUCAAAUCCUUAAAUUUCAAUGAAGACAUGCUUAAAAGAACUUUGGUUUACUCCUGUUUCACACAGAGCUUUUCAUAAAAUCUGGAUUUGCACCCUCUGAUUCAUGGACAUUCAUGGACAUUGUUCCAAAAAAAAAAAAUCUUGUACACAUGAAGCAAGAGCAUUUGUCAACAUUGGUUGAAGUUGCAAGCGUUCAAGGGUGCCUUUUGCUGCUUCCGUAAAACCGAUGAAAUUGAACACUUUUUUCUCAAUUUCUCCUCUCAUUUCCUUUUUGGUUUAAAGAAACCCUACACCUAAAAGUGAAAGUUUGUCCUUGUCAGUCCUAGUACAUGUUCUUGAAAAGUUGUAUUCUGUUGAGCCUCCUUUUUAAAAUUAAUUUACUUGUGCGUCUUAAAAUUUUUUUUACACGUGCACACUUAACAAAAGUUGUGAGGGCUUGAAAUGAAUAGUUAAUCUGUAGUCUUUCUGCAGAGCUGGCCUGGCGUUCAGUUUCUGUUUAGUUAGAUUGGCCACAUAUAGGGAAUCUGAACAAAUAAUUGUUGACUACCCCUGUUAUAGACGAUAAAGCAAUGUUUCUCAACCUUGGCAAUUUGUGAGACGUGUGAACUUCCAAUUUCCAGAAUUCAGUUGGCUCGGGAAUUCUGGGAGUUGAAGUCCAUACGUCUUACAGUUGGCAAGGUUGCGAAACACUGAACUAGAGACUUCCUAAAGUGGAGCAGAAGCUUUGUAACACCCAAUGGUGCCUACCAGUUACUGGGUUGUAUGCAGAUUAGGAAGGAGGGCGGGCGGGCAGAGAGAAGAUCCAUGAGAAUUAUUUGCAUAUGACAAUACGAAGAAAAGUUGAUAUUUCUGUUAGCUAAAUUAAUAAAUACGGCCAUAGUGAUGAAUUGCCAAGUCCGUGCCAGUUUUAAACGAAUUGGCAGAAAACAAAUUCUGAUUUUGGUGAUUUUUUUUUUCCAGCAAAGUUAAAAAAAAUUCCCUGCCCAGCCUCUGAAGAUGAAAGUCCUUACUUUGGUUUUGCUAUUGAAAUAUUGCUAUAUAAGAUCUUCAUGUAGUAGAAUACAUUGAUAUCCGAUGUGUUUAAAUGAUGAAUUGAUAUUUGUGUAUUUAGGAUUUUUUAAAAAAAUAAUAAUAAAAAAUCUUAAGCCUCUUGGGGGAGCCUGCCAUUUUGACAGCAUUCUGAAACCCAGUCAAAGUAUGGCGGGCAAUCUGGAGCACGUUCUUUUCGACUUGGCUCUCCAACUCCAUACUACAAGUGCUAAUUAAUAGGUUGAUUGAGAUAAUAAAUAAGCACUUAAAUGAGUUGUAAGCACUGCGGAUGGAAAGUGCUGUAUAAAUUAUAAAUGACAGUAAAAGCAAUUCUCGCAGUUUGAAGACAAAUACUAACGCAGACCAGCAAACCCAGUGGCUCAACUGUGAAAAUACCGAUUAAAAAUAUCAGUCACAAGGAGCAGCAACGUUUACUGCUGGGCUUAAUUAAGUAUCAAAGUGGCUUCUUGUGUUUUCUGAUAAAUAACCUAUUUUCAGCGGUGGAUCCUAGUUGCAUCAGGAGCCUCAUCCUUAAUUGUCAAUUGUGUCAGCGGGGUAAAAAUAUUUUCAACAUCUUGGGGUAAUUAAAUUUUUUGCAUUUACAAGGAUUCAUUUCUUGAGGCUGACCACCCCUGUGUGACAACCACAACAGCGUAUAGGAAGAGACACCCCCCCCGCCCCCCUUUGGCUCUCUCCUUGCAUUUUAAAUCUUUUGUUUGUUGAGUCUUGUCCUGUGAAGGGUUGCCUGUCCAAUGAAAGGGAGAGAAAAAUCCCUCAUUUGUAUGUUAUGAAUGGAACUAAAAAUUGUGCUUUCUGUUCAUUGGCUUGUACUGGAGUGAACUUUUUUUUUUUUAGCUAAGCAUUGUUGAAGCUCUAUAUUAAGGCCUUUUAUCAUUGAUUUCAAUGAAGGAAUGUAUCUUGCAAAGAGAUUUAUAUUAUGUAAAUAAUUCAAAGUUGGUUGUAACAAUAAAGCUGGUUUUUAACUGCA